UUGUGAAGAAGAUUGAUAGAGGGUGGAUGAAGAUGGAUGAUUGAAAACUCUGAAUGAAGGUGAAAUGGUGAAGUGGAUGCGUGGAAGAGAGGUUCUGAGUUUUUUUAUAGAGAUUGAAGGUUCAGUUCAGGGCAGACUUUGGUUUUGAAAUCAAGGGCAUCGUUCCAGUUAGUGGUAGAGCUGGCGAUUAGUCAUGUGCAGCAGCGUGAAACACAUGUGAACACCAUUUCAAGAUUACUUUUGGCCAUGAAGAGAUUCGAGACGGAAUGGUUUGGAAACUCGGGGAAGGAUAGGUCUAGGAAAAGAUUCUUUAUGCGAUUUCUUUGUAUUUGAGAAUGAAUUGGAUAUAGAUUUGUAAUAGGAUCUGAAUUUUGUUGUAAAGAAUUUUGAAUUGUC
Vicia villosa (hairy vetch) is the source of this 396-nucleotide long non-coding RNA. RefSeq lists it as uncharacterized. The transcript has 3 exons. Lineage: Eukaryota; Viridiplantae; Streptophyta; Magnoliopsida; Fabales; Fabaceae. The record is from RefSeq and is a predicted model, not a curated record.